Molecule: ribosomal RNA, 253 nt
Filed under: uncultured bacterium
Lineage: Bacteria
Description: partial 16S ribosomal RNA
Rfam family: Bacterial small subunit ribosomal RNA
Source: RNAcentral
UACGUAGGGUGCGAGCGUUGUCCGGAAUUAUUGGGCGUAAAGGGCUCGUAGGCGGUUUGUCGCGUCGGGAGUGAAAACCCCGGGCUUAACUCGGUGCUUGCUUUCGAUACGGGCAGACUAGAGGCAUGCAGGGGAGAACGGAAUUCCUGGUGUAGCGGUGAAAUGCGCAGAUAUCAGGAGGAACACCGGUGGCGAAGGCGGUUCUCUGGGACGGUACUGACGCUGAGACGCGAAAGCGUGGGGAGCAAACAGG